This 420-nucleotide unclassified non-coding RNA is filed under the name fungal sp. RNAcentral's name for it is "partial internal transcribed spacer region". The record is from RNAcentral. Lineage: Eukaryota; Fungi.
GGGCAGUCGAUCACCAUAAUCGUGCCUACGGAACGACUCAGCGAGGAACAAUCGAUCCUUCAAACACUCCGUCGCGGCGACCGCAUCGAACACUUUGAGACGAUAAGGCUCACAAAGGACGGCAGACGCAUUCCAAUUUCAUUAACCGUUUCUCCAAUAAAGAAUCGUGCGGGAGAAAUAAUCGGAGCGUCAAAGAUCGCUCGAGACAUUACUCAGCAAAAAGUUCUUGAGCAAGAACGUGAAAGACUACUUGUGCGUGAACAACAACUUCGUACUGAAGCUCAGGCUGCAAGUAAGCUCAAAGAUGAAUUCCUUGCCACAGUCUCACAUGAAUUACGAACACCACUGAAUGCAAUCCUUGGUUGGGGAACAAUGCUAAGACAUCGCGAAGUUCCGCCUGACAUGCUGAAAAGCGGAAUC